UACGUAGGGUCCGAGCGUUGUCCGGAAUUAUUGGGCGUAAAGGGCGCGUAGGCGGCCCGCUAAGUCGAACGUGAAAUCCCUGGGCUCAACCCAGGAACUGCGUCCGAUACUGGCAGGCUUGAAUCCGGGAGAGGGAUGCGGAAUUCCAGGUGUAGCGGUGAAAUGCGUAGAUAUCUGGAGGAACACCGGUGGCGAAGGCGGCAUCCUGGACCGGCAUUGACGCUGAGGCGCGAAAGCCAGGGGAGCAAACGGG
This 253-nucleotide ribosomal RNA is filed under the name uncultured bacterium. RNAcentral describes it as "partial 16S ribosomal RNA". It matches the Rfam family "Bacterial small subunit ribosomal RNA", at positions 524 to 776 of the family's 1533-position model. The record is from RNAcentral.